This is a transfer RNA of 77 nucleotides. It matches the Rfam family "tRNA". Rfam says of the family: Transfer RNA (tRNA) molecules are approximately 80 nucleotides in length. Their secondary structure includes four short double-helical elements and three loops (D, anti-codon, and T loops). Further hydrogen bonds mediate the characteristic L-shaped molecular structure. tRNAs have two regions of fundamental functional importance: the anti-codon, which is responsible for specific mRNA codon recognition, and the 3' end, to which the tRNAs corresponding amino acid is attached (by aminoacyl-tRNA synthetases). tRNAs cope with the degeneracy of the genetic code in two manners: having more than one tRNA (with a specific anti-codon) for a particular amino acid; and 'wobble' base-pairing, i.e. permitting non-standard base-pairing at the 3rd anti-codon position.
CGGGAUGUAGCGCAGCUUGGUAGCGCAUCCGCUUUGGGAGCGGAGGGUCGCAGGUUCGAAUCCUGUCAUCCCGACCG